This 1382-nucleotide ribosomal RNA is filed under the name uncultured bacterium. RNAcentral's name for it is "bacterial SSU rRNA". It matches the Rfam family "Bacterial small subunit ribosomal RNA". The record is from RNAcentral.
AGAGUUUGAUCCUGGCUCAGGAUAAACGCUGGCGGCGCACAUAAGACAUGCAAGUCGAACGGACUUAAUCGAAAUAUUUAUAUUUUGAAGCGGUUAGUGGCGGACUGGUGAGUAACGCGUAAGGAACCUGCCUAUUAGAGGGGAAUAACAGUGAGAAAUCAUUGCUAAUACCGCAUAUGCCAUAGAUAUCACAUGAUAACAGUGGGAAAGAAGCAAUUCGCUAAUAGAUGGCCUUGCGUCUGAUUAGAUAGUUGGUGGGGUAACGGCCUACCAAGUCGACGAUCAGUAGCCGGACUGAGAGGUUGAACGGCCACAUUGGGACUGAGAUACGGCCCAGACUCCUACGGGAGGCAGCAGUCGGGAAUAUUGCGCAAUGGAGGAAACUCUGACGCAGUGACGCCGCGUAUAGGAAGAAGGUUUUCGGAUUGUAAACUAUUGUCGUUAGGGAAGAGAAAGGACAGUACCUAAGGAGGAAGCUCCGGCUAACUACGCGCCAGCAGCCGCGGUAAUACGUAGGGAGCGAGCGUUAUCCGGAAUUAUUGGGUGUAAAGGGUGCGUAGACGGUAGAACAAGUUAGUUGUGAAAUACCUCGGCUCAACUGAGGAACUGCAACUAAAACUGUACUUCUUGAGUGCAGGAGAGGUAAGUGGAAUUCCUAGUGUAGCGGUGAAAUGCGUAGAUAUUAGGAGGAACACCAGUGGCGAAGGCGACUUACUGGACUGUAACUGACGUUGAGGCACGAAAGUGUGGGGAGCAAACAGGAUUAGAUACCCUGGUAGUCCACACCGUAAACGAUGGAUACUAGGUGUAGGAGGUAUUAAGCCUUCUGUGCCGUCGCAAACGCAGUAAGUAUCCCACCUGGGGAGUACGGCCGCAAGGUUGAAACUCAAAGGAAUUGACGGGGGCCCGCACAAGCAGUGGAGUAUGUGGUUUAAUUCGAAGCAACGCGAAGAACCUUACCAGGUCUUGACAUCGUGCGCAUAGGCAAGAGAUUGCUGAAAUCACUCUUUGAGUGACGUAUAGACAGGUGGUGCAUGGUUGUCGUCAGCUCGUGUCGUGAGAUGUUGGGUUAAGUCCCGCAACGAGCGCAACCCUUAUCAUUAGUUACUACGAAAGAGGACUCUAAUGAGACUGCCGUUGAGAAAACGGAGGAAGGUGGGGAUGACGUCAAAUCAUCAUGCCCCUUAUGACCUGGGCUACACACGUACUACAAUGGCUGUCAACAAAGUGAACCAAAUACGCGAGUAAGAGGGAAACACAAAAAACAGUCACAGUUCGGAUUGUAGGCUGCAACUCGCCUACAUGAAGCCGGAAUUGCUAGUAAUCGCGGAUCAGCAUGCCGCGGUGAAUACGUUCCCGGGUCUUGCACACACCGCCCGUCA